This 484-nucleotide ribosomal RNA is filed under the name uncultured bacterium. RNAcentral describes it as "partial 16S ribosomal RNA". It matches the Rfam family "Bacterial small subunit ribosomal RNA", at positions 30 to 507 of the family's 1533-position model. The record is from RNAcentral.
AUUGAACGCUGGCGGCAGGCCUAACACAUGCAAGUCGAGCGGAUGAAGGGAGCUUGCUCCUGGAUUCAGCGGCGGACGGGUGAGUAAUGCCUAGGAAUCUGCCUGGUAGUGGGGGAUAACGUCCGGAAACGGGCGCUAAUACCGCAUACGUCCUGAGGGAGAAAGUGGGGGAUCUUCGGACCUCACGCUAUCAGAUGAGCCUAGGUCGGAUUAGCUAGUUGGUGGGGUAAAGGCCUACCAAGGCGACGAUCCGUAACUGGUCUGAGAGGAUGAUCAGUCAAAACGGAAAUGGGAAACGGGCCAGACUCCUAAGGGAGGCAGCAGUUGGGAAUAUUGGAAAAUGGGCGAAAGCCUGAUCCAGCCAUGGCGCGGGUGGGAAGAAGGUCUUCGGAUUGUAAAGCACUUUAAGGUGGGAGGAAGGGCAGUAAGUUAAUACCUUGCUGGUUUGACGUUACCAACAGAAUAAGCACCGGCUAACUUCGUG